This 75-nucleotide transfer RNA is filed under the name Candidatus Omnitrophota bacterium. RNAcentral's name for it is "tRNA-Met". It matches the Rfam family "tRNA". From Rfam's summary of the family: Transfer RNA (tRNA) molecules are approximately 80 nucleotides in length. Their secondary structure includes four short double-helical elements and three loops (D, anti-codon, and T loops). Further hydrogen bonds mediate the characteristic L-shaped molecular structure. tRNAs have two regions of fundamental functional importance: the anti-codon, which is responsible for specific mRNA codon recognition, and the 3' end, to which the tRNAs corresponding amino acid is attached (by aminoacyl-tRNA synthetases). tRNAs cope with the degeneracy of the genetic code in two manners: having more than one tRNA (with a specific anti-codon) for a particular amino acid; and 'wobble' base-pairing, i.e. permitting non-standard base-pairing at the 3rd anti-codon position. The record is from RNAcentral. Lineage: Bacteria; Pseudomonadati; Candidatus Omnitrophota.
CGCGGGGUGGAGCAGAGGUAGCUCGUCAGGCUCAUAACCUGAAGGUCGACAGUUCGAUUCUGUCCCCCGCAACCA